RNAcentral lists this ribosomal RNA (973 nucleotides) under Blautia sp. AM16-16B. Its description in RNAcentral is "bacterial LSU rRNA". It matches the Rfam family "Bacterial large subunit ribosomal RNA", at positions 1934 to 2907 of the family's 2925-position model. The record is from RNAcentral. Lineage: Bacteria; Bacillati; Bacillota; Clostridia; Lachnospirales; Lachnospiraceae.
CCGUAACUAUAACGGUCCUAAGGUAGCGAAAUUCCUUGUCGGGUAAGUUCCGACCCGCACGAAAGGCGUAAUGAUUUGAGCGCUGUCUCGACAAUGCAUCCGGUGAAAUUGAAGUACCAGUGAAGAUGCUGGUUACCUGCGCCAGGACGGAAAGACCCCAUGGAGCUUUACUCCAGCUUGAUACUGGGAUUCGGUAUUGCAUGUACAGGAUAGGUGGGAGGCUGAGAAAUGGUAACGCCAGUUGCCAUGGAGCCAUUGUUGGGAUACCACCCUUGCAGUACUGGGUUUCUAACCAGCAGCCGUGACCCGGCUGGGGGACAAUGUCAGGUGGGGAGUUUGACUGGGGCGGUCGCCUCCGAAAGGGUAUCGGAGGCGCUCAAAGGUUCCCUCAGAAUGGUUGGAAACCAUUCGAAGAGUGCAAAGGCAGAAGGGAGCUUGACUGCGACACCGACGGGUGGAGCAGGUACGAAAGUAGGACUUAGUGAUCCGGUGGUAUUAAGUGGGAAUGCCAUCGCUCAACGGAUAAAAGCUACCCUGGGGAUAACAGGCUUAUCACUCCCAAGAGUUCACAUCGACGGAGUGGUUUGGCACCUCGAUGUCGGCUCAUCGCAUCCUGGGGCUGUAGUAGGUCCCAAGGGUUGGGCUGUUCGCCCAUUAAAGCGGUACGCGAGCUGGGUUCAGAACGUCGUGAGACAGUUCGGUCCCUAUCCGGCGUGGGCGUAGGAUAUCUGAGAGGAGCUGUCCUUAGUACGAGAGGACCGGGAUGGACGGACCGCUGGUGUACCUGUUGCAGUGCCAGCUGCAUGGCAGGGUAGCCAAGUCCGGAAGGGAUAAACGCUGAAGGCAUCUAAGCGUGAAGCCCCCCUCAAGAUGAGAUAUCCCAUUCGAAAGAAGUAAGACCCCUUGAAGACGACGAGGUAGAUAGGGCAGAGGUGGAAGUGCAGUAAUGUAUGGAGCUGACUGUUACUAAUCG